RNAcentral lists this transfer-messenger RNA (361 nucleotides) under Eubacteriales. RNAcentral's name for it is "CAG-272 sp018065475 Standard tmRNA". It matches the Rfam family "transfer-messenger RNA". From Rfam's summary of the family: Bacterial tmRNA, also known as 10Sa RNA or SsrA, is named for its dual tRNA and mRNA-like properties. RNAcentral also lists the same sequence under 1 other name. The record is from RNAcentral. Lineage: Bacteria; Bacillati; Bacillota; Clostridia.
GGGGGUGCAAUGGUUUCGACGGGGAUUGCGAAGUGAGGUAAGCGUGCAGAGCCGAUGCGACUCUUUAAUCCGUGUCAACCUUAAAAUUAAACGCUAAUAACGAUUUAAUCGCUGCCUAAACGGCAGGCCGCGGCGUCAUUACGCCGCCCGUUCAACCCGGAGUUACCGACGGUCGGGAUUGGGCGUCAUGAGUCGGUGCACGUGAACUGCGAGUGUCCUUAUAACAGUCACGGAUAAAAGGAAUACCGGACGGGAUCUUGUCUUUUCCGUACCGAACGGGAAAUCUCAGAAAAGAAUAAGCACGUAGAAAGCAGCAUGGAACGGUUUUCGGACAUGGGUUCGACUCCCAUCAUCUCCACCA